UCCCUGGUCGUCCAGUGGCUGAGACUCUGCCCUCUCAAUGCAGAGGGCCCAGGUUUGAUCCCUGGUCAGGGAG
Molecule: transfer RNA, 73 nt
Filed under: Bos indicus x Bos taurus (hybrid cattle)
Lineage: Eukaryota; Metazoa; Chordata; Mammalia; Artiodactyla; Bovidae
Rfam family: tRNA
About the family: Transfer RNA (tRNA) molecules are approximately 80 nucleotides in length.
Source: Rfam by way of RNAcentral